Molecule: non-coding RNA, 87 nt
Organism: Podarcis lilfordi (Lilford's wall lizard)
Lineage: Eukaryota; Metazoa; Chordata; Lepidosauria; Squamata; Lacertidae
Source: the annotation of a GenBank genome assembly
CCUGGAUCCUUCCAUAGCUCAGUGGGAGAGCAUCUGCUCUGCAGGCAGGAGACCCCAGGUUCAAUCUCUGAACCUCCAGUUUCAGGA